RNAcentral lists this ribosomal RNA (315 nucleotides) under uncultured bacterium. Its description in RNAcentral is "bacterial SSU rRNA". It matches the Rfam family "Bacterial small subunit ribosomal RNA", at positions 28 to 342 of the family's 1533-position model. The record is from RNAcentral.
GACGAACGCUGGCGGCGUGCUUAACACAUGCAAGUCGAGCGGUAAGGCCCUUUUCGGGGGUACACGAGCGGCGAACGGGUGAGUAACACGUGGGUGACCUGCCCUCAGCUCUGGGAUAAGCCUGGGAAACCGGGUCUAAUACUGGAUAUGACUCCAUGACGCAUGUUGUGGGGUGGAAAGCCUUGUGCGGCUGAGGAUGGGGCCCGCGGCCCUAUCAGCUUGUUGGUGGGGUGANGGCCUACCAAGGCGACGACGGGUAGCCGGCCUGAGAGGCGACCGGCCACACUGGGACUGAGACACGGCCCAGACUCCUAC